AGUCUAAAGUUUGUUCAUUUUAGAUAAAGCCUGCCCAAUGCUCAAAGAAGUUAAUGGCCGCAGUACCCUGACUGUGCUAAGGUAGCGUAAUCAGUUGGCUUUUAAAUGGAGUCGUGUAUGAAUGGAUUAAUGGGGUGAGACUGUCUCUUUUAGAUUUAUUUGAAUUUAGUGAAAAGGUGAAAAUACCUUCAGAAAGACAAAGGACGAUAAGACCCUAGGAGUUUGCCUAAAGGAAUAUUUUAAAUUCUACAGUUUUGCUGGGGCGGCAUAGAGGCAGAGUAUGGAAAUAACCCUCUUUAAAAGUUAGCCGAAUAUUUUAAGAACGAAUAAACUACCCUAGGGAUAACAGCAUUAUUCUUUAAAGAGUUUGUGACCUCGAUGUUGGACUAGGAAUUAAUCAGGCUAGCCGCUUGAAUAUAUUGUUCUGUUCGAACUAUUUUUCC
Molecule: ribosomal RNA, 443 nt
Filed under: Cylindrobulla beauii
Lineage: Eukaryota; Metazoa; Mollusca; Gastropoda; Cylindrobullidae
Description: partial 16S ribosomal RNA
Rfam family: Bacterial large subunit ribosomal RNA
Source: RNAcentral